AGUGAACGCUGGCGGUAGGCCUAACACAUGCAAGUCGAACGGCAGCACAGUAAGAGCUUGCUCUUACGGGUGGCGAGUGGCGGACGGGUGAGGAAUACAUCGGAAUCUACUUUUUCGUGGGGGAUAACGUAGGGAAACUUACGCUAAUACCGCAUACGACCUACGGGUGAAAGCAGGGGAUCUUCGGACCUUGCGCGAUUGAAUGAGCCGAUGUCGGAUUAGCUAGUUGGCGGGGUAAAGGCCCACCAAGGCGACGAUCCGUAGCUGGUCUGAGAGGAUGAUCAGCCACACUGGAACUGAGACACGGUCCAGACUCCUACGGGAGGCAGCAGUGGGGAAUAUGGGACAAUGGGCGCAAGCCUGGUCCAGCCAUACCGCGUGGGUGAAGAAGGCCUUCGGGUUGUAAAGCCCUUUUGUUGGGAAAGAAAAGCAGCAGGUUAAUACCCCGCUGUUCUGACGGUACCCAAAGAAUAAGCACCGGCUAACUUCGUG
This 492-nucleotide ribosomal RNA is filed under the name uncultured bacterium. RNAcentral describes it as "partial 16S ribosomal RNA". It matches the Rfam family "Bacterial small subunit ribosomal RNA", at positions 29 to 507 of the family's 1533-position model. The record is from RNAcentral.